UCGAGCGGGGGAAGGUAGCUUGCUACUGGACCUAGCGGCGGACGGGUGAGUAAUGCUUAGGAAUCUGCCUAUUAGUGGGGGACAACAUCUCGAAAGGGAUGCUAAUACCGCAUACGUCCUACGGGAGAAAGCAGGGGAUCUUCGGACCUUGCGCUAAUAGAUGAGCCUAAGUCGGAUUAGCUAGUUGGUGGGGUAAAGGCCUACCAAGGCGACGAUCUGUAGCGGGUCUGAGAGGAUGAUCCGCCACACUGGGACUGAGACACGGCCCAGACUCCUACGGGAGGCAGCAGUGGGGAAUAUUGGACAAUGGGGGGAACCCUGAUCCAGCCAUGCCG
Molecule: ribosomal RNA, 335 nt
Filed under: Acinetobacter baumannii OIFC083
Lineage: Bacteria; Pseudomonadati; Pseudomonadota; Gammaproteobacteria; Moraxellales; Moraxellaceae
Description: bacterial SSU rRNA
Rfam family: Bacterial small subunit ribosomal RNA
Source: RNAcentral